UACGUAGGGUGCAAGCGUUGUCCGGAAUUAUUGGGCGUAAAGAGCUUGUAGGCGGUUUGUCGCGUCUGCUGUGAAAUUUCGGGGCUCAACCCCGAACUUGCAGUGGGUACGGGCAGACUAGAGUGUGGUAGGGGAGACUGGAAUUCCUGGUGUAGCGGUGAAAUGCGCAGAUAUCAGGAGGAACACCGAUGGCGAAGGCAGGUCUCUGGGCCACUACUGACGCUGAGUGAGCGAAAGCCAGGGGAGCAAACGGG
This 254-nucleotide ribosomal RNA is filed under the name uncultured bacterium. RNAcentral describes it as "partial 16S ribosomal RNA". It matches the Rfam family "Bacterial small subunit ribosomal RNA", at positions 524 to 776 of the family's 1533-position model. The record is from RNAcentral.